GUAUGCUUAACACAUGCAAGUCGAACGGGAUGCUUAGGCAUCUAGUGGCGGACGGGUGAGUAACGCGUGAGAAUCUGGCUCCAGGUCGGGGAUAACAGUUGGAAACGACUGCUAAUACCGGAUGUGCCGAGAGGUGAAAGAUUUAUCGCCUGGAGAUGAGCUCGCGUCUGAUUAGCUAGUUGGCGGUGUAAGGGACCACCAAGGCAUCGAUCAGUAGCUGGUCUGAGAGGAUGAUCAGCCACACUGGGACUGAGACACGGCCCAGACUUCUACGGGAGGCAGCAGUGGGGAAUUUUCCGCAAUGGGCGAAAGCCUGACGGAGCAAUACCGCGUGAGGGAGGAAGGCUCUUGGGUCGUAAACCUCUUUUCUCAAGGAAGAAGAAAGUGACGGUACUUGAGGAAUAAGCAUCGGCUAACUCCGUGCCAGCAGCCGCGGUAAUACGGAGGAUGCAAGCGUUAUCCGGAAUGAUUGGGCGUAAAGGGUCUGCAGGUGGAACUGAAAGUCUGCUGUUAAAGAGUUUGGCUUAACCAAAUAAAAGCGGUGGAAACUACAGAACUAGAGUGCGGUAGGGGCAAAAGGAAUUCCUGGUGUAGCGGUGAAAUGCGUAGAUAUCAGGAAGAACACCGGUGGCGAAAGCGUUUUGCUAGACCGUAACUGACACUGAGGGACGAAAGCUAGGGGAGCGAAUGGGAUUAGAUACCCCAGUAGUCCUAGCCGUAAACGAUGGAUACUAGGCGUGGCUUGUAUCGACCCGAGCCGUGCCGGAGCUAACGCGUUAAGUAUCCCGCCUGGGGAGUACGCACGCAAGUGUGAAACUCAAAGGAAUUGACGGGGGCCCGCACAAGCGGUGGAGUAUGUGGUUUAAUUCGAUGCAACGCGAAGAACCUUACCAAGGCUUGACAUCCUGCGAAUCCCGGUGAAAGCUGGGAGUGCCUUAGGGAGCGCAGAGACAGGUGGUGCAUGGCUGUCGUCAGCUCGUGUCGUGAGAUGUUGGGUUAAGUCCCGCAACGAGCGCAACCCUCGUUUUUAGUUGCCAGCAUUAAGUUGGGCACUCUAGAGAGACUGCCGGUGACAAACCGGAGGAAGGUGAGGAUGACGUCAAGUCAGCAUGCCCCUUACGUCUUGGGCUACACACGUACUACAAUGCUACGGACAGAGGGCAGCGAGCCAGGGAUGGCAAGCGAAUCCAGAAACCGUAGCUCAGUUCAGAUCGAAGGCUGCAACUCGCCUUCGUGAAGGAGGAAUCGCUAGUAAUUGCAGGUCAGCAUACUGCAGUGAAUUCGUUCCC
Molecule: ribosomal RNA, 1289 nt
Filed under: Cylindrospermopsis raciborskii
Lineage: Bacteria; Bacillati; Cyanobacteriota; Cyanophyceae; Nostocales; Aphanizomenonaceae
Description: bacterial SSU rRNA
Rfam family: Bacterial small subunit ribosomal RNA
Source: RNAcentral